CGUGUAGGCGGUUUCGUAUGUCUGACGUGAAAGCCCCGGGCUCAACCCGGGAAGUGCGUUGGAAACUGCGAGACUAGAGUCUCGGAGAGGAAGGUGGAAUUCCAGGUGUAGCGGUGAAAUGCGUAGAUAUCUGGAAGAACACCGGUGGCGAAGGCGGCCUUCUGGACGAUGACUGACGCUGAGACGCGAAAGCGUGGGGAGCAAACA
RNAcentral lists this ribosomal RNA (207 nucleotides) under uncultured bacterium. RNAcentral describes it as "partial 16S ribosomal RNA". It matches the Rfam family "Bacterial small subunit ribosomal RNA", at positions 568 to 774 of the family's 1533-position model. The record is from RNAcentral.